AGCUCCAAUAGCGUAUAUUAAAGUUGUUGCAGUUAAAAAGCUCGUAGUUGGAUCUCGGAUCCCGGCUCGCGGUCCACCUCGCGGUGGUCACUGCCCGUCCGGAUCUACCUCCCGGUUUUCCCUUGGUGCUCUUGACUGAGUGUCUCGGGUGGCCGGAACGUUUACUUUGAAAAAAUUAGAGUGUUCAAAGCAGGCGCUUCGCCUGAAUAAUGGUGCAUGGAAUAAUGGAAUAGGACCUCGGUUCUAUUUUGUUGGUUUUCGGAACUUGAGGUAAUGAUUAAGAGGGACAGACGGGGGCAUUCGUAUUACGGUGUUAGAGGUGAAAUUCUUGGAUCGCCGUAAGACGAACUACUGCGAAAGCAUUUGCCAAGAAUGUUUUCAUUAAUCAAGAACGAAAGUA
This 400-nucleotide ribosomal RNA is filed under the name phytoplankton environmental sample. RNAcentral's name for it is "partial small subunit ribosomal RNA". It matches the Rfam family "Eukaryotic small subunit ribosomal RNA", at positions 587 to 991 of the family's 1831-position model. The record is from RNAcentral.